Molecule: long non-coding RNA, 437 nt
Filed under: Mytilus galloprovincialis (Mediterranean mussel)
Lineage: Eukaryota; Metazoa; Mollusca; Bivalvia; Mytilida; Mytilidae
Source: RNAcentral
CAAAAAGAUAAGUAAUAUCAACAGAUGCAAAAACAAUCUUAAGCAGUUAAUAAUCAGUUUCCAUGUACAUGUAUAUUAUAUAUGCAAACAAACUAAUGUCCGUAUAUUUAAAAAAAAAAGUUCUUAUUUGAAUAACAUUGAAAUAUGGCUCCGCUCUGUACUGAAUUUCAUCUGAUAUCAUAGUAACGGAUUGUCAUGAGAUAAAUCCCACGGACAAAAACAUGAAAAGUUCGCCAGAAAAAGUCGUUGUACCAUCAUCAAAGGGCAUUGUCAUGAGAUAAAUCUCACGGACAAUAAGUUCAAGAAAAACAUCGCUGUACAGAGAUUAAUAAAUUGUCAUGAGAUAAAUCUCACGGACAAAAAGGUUCAAAAUAAACAUCCUCGUCAAGCAUUGGCAAUUGUCUUGAAUUUUACAACAAAUAUGUACAAUAUGAGCG